GCCCCCAUCGUCUAGCGGCCCAGGACGUCAGCCCUUCAAGCUGAAAACAGGGAUUCGACUUCCCUUAGGGGCA
Molecule: transfer RNA, 73 nt
Filed under: Chloroflexota bacterium
Lineage: Bacteria; Bacillati; Chloroflexota
Description: tRNA-Glu
Rfam family: tRNA
About the family: Transfer RNA (tRNA) molecules are approximately 80 nucleotides in length. Their secondary structure includes four short double-helical elements and three loops (D, anti-codon, and T loops). Further hydrogen bonds mediate the characteristic L-shaped molecular structure. tRNAs have two regions of fundamental functional importance: the anti-codon, which is responsible for specific mRNA codon recognition, and the 3' end, to which the tRNAs corresponding amino acid is attached (by aminoacyl-tRNA synthetases). tRNAs cope with the degeneracy of the genetic code in two manners: having more than one tRNA (with a specific anti-codon) for a particular amino acid; and 'wobble' base-pairing, i.e. permitting non-standard base-pairing at the 3rd anti-codon position.
Source: RNAcentral